This 330-nucleotide ribosomal RNA is filed under the name uncultured bacterium. RNAcentral's name for it is "bacterial SSU rRNA". It matches the Rfam family "Bacterial small subunit ribosomal RNA", at positions 568 to 898 of the family's 1533-position model. The record is from RNAcentral.
CGCGUAGGUGGUAGUGUAAGUCUGAGGUGGAAUCCCAGGGCUUAACCCUGGAACUGCCUUGGAAACUGCAUUACUUGAGUCAGUGAGGGGAGGGUAGAAUUCCUGGUGUAGCGGUGAAAUGUGUAGAUAUCAGGAGGAAGGCCUGUGGCGAAGGCGGCCCUCUGGUGCUGGACUGACACUGAGGCGCGAAAGCGUGGGGAGCAAACAGGAUUAGAUACCCUGGUAGUCCACGCCCUAAACGGUGGGCACUAGGUGUAGGGCUCGUAAGGGUUCUGUGCCGAAGGGAAACCAUUAAGUGCCCCGCCUGGGGAGUACGGCCGCAAGGUUGAA